RNAcentral lists this transfer RNA (94 nucleotides) under Porticoccaceae bacterium. Its description in RNAcentral is "tRNA-SeC(tca)". It matches the Rfam family "Selenocysteine transfer RNA". The record is from RNAcentral. Lineage: Bacteria; Pseudomonadati; Pseudomonadota; Gammaproteobacteria; Cellvibrionales; Porticoccaceae.
GGGAAGAGCGACGCCCCCGGUGGGGUGCCUGGUCUUCAAAACCAGUGAGGUGCCAUUGAGGUGUCUGGUGGGUUCGACUCCUACCUCUUCCGCC